GGAGCGGCGAUCAGAGGCCUGGGUUCUGCGGGAAGUGGGGAGGGCGAGGGAGGCGGGGAGGCGGUGGCGCCUCCGGGGAGAGACCUGAGGCCGAGGCCUGAGCCUCCCGCCCCUCUGCGGGCGCCUCCCGGGCUCCGCCCCCUGCCCGCCCUCCCCCCUCCCCCCCCUUGGCGUAACCAGUAGGCGCUCCCUAAAUGCUCCCUCUCUCCCUCUCCUUGGCCCCACCCGCCACGUCUGGGGUAAAGCGCCCCCUCCUCAGGCAGCCCCCCCGUUUCCUAGCCUCGCUGGCUGACGCCCUGGGUUUCCACGCCCUGCGUUUCUAGCCUCCGUGCAUUUGCUCAGGCUGUGCCGGGAAGGGCAUUCUCCGUCUUUGCCCUCGGAGCCUCAGCUCAAGGCUUGGCCCUUGGGAGAGCCCUCUGCCCUCCCCCUCCUCUGCAUCUUUGGUCCCCGUCACCCAGCCUUGCUCAUCUUAGUGACAGCCCGCCAUUUGUUCACCAGAGUGGACCUUAAGGCACGUGCUACUCCUGGCCAUUGUCCAGAUGAGGAAACUGAGGCUGGGGACAUGAGGCGUCCAACCCAGCUGGAGUCCCAUUCCAGGGAUUCCAGGGCCUCCUCCUCCCUGUUGGAGGCCCUCCUUGGUUUUGUAGCCCUGCCCGGGGCUACGGGGGGGAUGGCCAAGCCCUGGGGAGCUCCUCUCAUGGUGUGUUUUUCCUCUCCAGCUCCGCCUUCUCAACGCUCAAGAGAAGGGAGCUUUGCGGCAAUAGCCAUGGCCCCUUUGUUCCCCAGAUCCAGAGCCCACGAGGAUUACUACGCCGACUUCCAGCACAAGUAGGAGAAAAGCCGAAGGUGGCACAUAUUGGGAUUGCAGAACCUUAGGGGCCUUAGAGACCCCCCAGUCCAAGCCAUCUGCAGAGAGGUUGCAUAUCCUGGGUCACAAGGUCAGGAGGCUGCCCCCAGGUCCUCUGCCCUCCCUCUGCUGCGCCAUGUUGCUCCUGGUGAUGAUUGCCUUGUUAGGUGAUUCUGAAGCUGUUGCCUUGGCCCCUUGUGAAGCCAGACCCCUGAGAACAAGCCCCCUGCAUGCUCUCUGGCCCCUUCCCGUGGACCCCCAGGGCCAUCUGAGGGCCAGAACCUGGACAAGCACAAAUAAAACCCUUUGGUGUUUCA
RNAcentral lists this long non-coding RNA (1164 nucleotides) under Vombatus ursinus (common wombat). Its description in RNAcentral is "lncRNA (ENSVURG00010020722.1)". The record is from RNAcentral. Lineage: Eukaryota; Metazoa; Chordata; Mammalia; Diprotodontia; Vombatidae.